AGGGAAAAACAUAACACAUAGCCGGAAAUGGCAAGAGUCGGAGUUACAAAUAUGGCAAGUUACAUGCGGGGUGUUACAUAUACGUCCAACUCUUUCUAACAGGAGCAUCGCGGCCUCUCUGCCAAAGGUUGCAGAAUUGUUGGAUGCCCUCAACCAUGAAAAACCUCGACUCAUUAACAGUGGCAAAAUUCUGCAUUUUAGGUGUACAAUAUUUGAGUUACGUUUUUUGUGUGAGACAUUUCAGUGAAUCCACGUUUAAAAGAAGCUUUCAUCCUGAGGUACAAUUAGAUAACUCAUGUUUAUUUUUUGUUUCCUGGAUCCUCUGAUCAGCUACUACUGCAAUUGUACAUAAGACACAGAUGUCCAUAGCCGACUAACCAUUGGUGUGGAUGUUUCCCUGAGAGGAUGCAUUAUUAUACGCUACACUCGCGUGUCGCUCGUAGUAUGACGCAAUCGCCAACUUAUAAUUAAAACUUCUACGCGAUAGACACCGAGAGUAAGCCGUCGGGUUUGUCUUUGUCGUCCACUAUCACUAUGUCCCCUAUACGGACGACGCUGACGGCCAGGCUCUCCGCCGGUCCGGACGCCGCCGGCGAGGUGGCGUGGUCGCCGUGGUGCACCGAUGGCCUGGAGACGAGGUUGUAUGGCUGGAUCCUCUCCACUUUCCUCACCCGCACCACGCCGUCGACGGGCAGCUCAUUGCCCGUGCUCGUGCUCGUCGCCACCAUCUUGCUUCUGCCGCCACCGCGGAACAUUGCCGAACUUUGCUAUUCUAAUAUGUGGAUAUAUAUCGAUCUAAUUAGCUGGAUUAACGUAGAUCGAUCUCCAGCGAGAAGACUCUGUGUUUUCUUUGAGCUCGGUUGGGUCCUCAUUUAUAGGCUCCAUCCUAGCUAGGAGAGGUGUCUUCUCGUGGGGCUCUCUGCAGAUGCUUAAUUCUACACUGUUGUGAAGUGGGGCAAUCAUUCGAUCAUGAGCUGCUUUAAUUUGGAUAGAAAAGCAUGUCUAUAAUGCUUGUAAUGUUGAUCCCAAAUGUUGGGUCGUUGCUGUGCAAAGUGGCCUUCAUGUGACUGGGCAUCUUCGUAGAGCCUCCCAUGUGAAGCUUGCAUCGUUGUUCCGGUCGAAUUCGAACCCGAUGCCCAAAGAGACAAAGGGAACUCGACCAAAUCAAGCUAGCUCGCUUGUCAUGUGUGGUUAGUAGGGCUCCCAUGCGCGUAGAGCAACCGGAUCAAUCAAGCUAUCAAGAUCAUUGGUAAAAAGAUCUUUAGUAACAUUGGCACACAUGGGGAGAUUAAGAAGGAAACAUAUGUUGUUUGAAACAUAUGUGAGUUAAAAAAAAGGAAGCAUUUUUUGCUAGAACUUUCGGGAAAUACUAGUCGACUAAAAUAGGAGAAAUGAUGUUCUACCAUAAACGAUAUAUUCGGAGCAUGCAUCCAUCGUCUGUGAUUGCUUUGAGAUUUGUGCUACGUUUUUUUGUUGUUCUCAUAAUUUGUCUUGAUUCAAAGUGUUACAUUGGUUUUUCCUCUCGUUUCAAAAUUAUUCAUUGUCUAUCAUUCUGUAGCAACAUAUCUGAUCUAAAACAAGUGCAUUAUUUUUUGUUGAUACACAAUAAAACAUUAUGAUGCACUUCGAAACACGACGAAAACCGAGUGAAACAUUACAAAAUAGGAUAAAUUGUGACAACAGCCAGAAAAGUUGCACGGACCUUAAAGCAACCACGGACAGUAGAUCCAUGCACGAGAUAUCUGUGCAUGAUAGAAAAAUCAGGCUUGCUAAAAUAGCUGCUUUGGUGAAAUUUUAGUGUGAUGACCAAUGAAUCAAUCGACCACCCCCGUGAUGAGGGCUUUGCCCAUCUCAUUGGCUCCCAACUCACAUGCUAACUGCCCGUGGAAGCUGGCACGACGUAGCCCUCGCAAUGGACUGAGCCAUUGCAGCACCUACACCCAUGAUCCUUUGGAAGUGGCCUUCUACUCUGGCAUGGCGGUGUUGUUUUACCCCUUCCUUAUCUACUCCUCCAUCGUCCCUCCGGAGUUGUUGCUUCUCCCACGCCGCGCUUGGCAACGGUGGUGUAGGAACCAAGCAAGUGUGGUGCAAUUUAUGGCAUGUGAAAAGCUCACUACAAUCCAACCAAAAUUCACCUUAGAAAAAGUACAUUUCCACUAACACUGACAUAAAAAGUAUAGUAGGCAUUGAAAAGAGACAAAUGACAUGAAAAAUCACAUUGUUUCUAAAUACCAUCAUGACAUAUUGUGAUAUGUCAUUAAUAAGAUAAUGGCAAUUUGACACCAGAGGAUGACGGAGAUGGUGGCGCGGCGUGUGGUUGGUGUUAUCUGGUUCUGAUUAGCCAUUGGUCGCUACUUGUGAGGACGGUGCGGGUACUCUGGAUUGUCCCGAACAUGGGAUUUUGGGCAACCAUCCUUCCUCAUCGAUGACUUCGCUGUGUGGUGGUGAGCAAUUUUGUCGUGGCUUGACUAUCUGCUCGCCCUGCAUGGCCAUCACUCGGACUGUGCGCGUAAGCAGCUGCUAGGAUUGUGGCAAGUGGAGGUGGCAUCAUAUAAUAACUUCGGUUGGGUGGUGCUUCUCAAGUACCCGGUCUGGAGCUCCGGGUUGAAAACCCUAAGUCUGGCCUUUGUUGGUUAUACUUGGCAAUGGCGGUGUCUUUUGCGUCGCCUUGAUGUAGGCAUUGCCUGGAGUUGACCGUGAUCUUUAGGGUGAAAACCCACGAUCUGACCUUCGAUGGUUGGAUCAGGCGACGGCGGCAUUUGCGUGCCGUUCCCUUCAUGGAGGCGUCGUCUUUGAAGAAUCUUUCUCGUAGUCUAUGUGUUGUCAAAAGUUGAUUGGUAUAGAUGGUUGCUGAGGUGCAUCAUCGAUCGCUGUUUUCAUCACUUCAUGAUGUCUUUUUCUUCUUCUUUUUCUUUAUGCGUCUAGGCAUUAGCUUCGGUCUUAUUUGACUUUGCUAUUUGUUGGCGUAAUUUUGUGUGUGUGCGUAUGUUGGCUAUGUGCAUACUAGUUAUGUAGAGGCCGGGUGUAUACUCGUUAUGAUUGUAUCCCUCGAUGCUACAUUAUGAGUCAAUAAAAAACAUCCUUUGUCGAAAAAAUGAAUUGAUGUAGCAUCCACUUGGUGCACCAAUCUACAUAGAUGUACAAUGUAGCACAUACAUCAUAAAUAGAAAUGAUAAAUAACACAUGAAACUUAUGAAUGCAAAUUCGAUCAUGGCAGCUGAAGAGGGAAUGGAAAGUUGAAUAUUACAAACCUCUAUGAAUCAGGGAUCAUGAUGGAAGGCGGAGCAAGCCUAGUAGGAGUUGUUGCAGUAGAUAGCAGAUUAACGGGUACUGCAGGGAUAGGCGGAUCACUAACCCCCUACUGUUGUUUGAGCGACAUGGGCGAGAUGGUCGCCUGGCAUCAAAAUCUAGAUAUUUAUAAUCUAAAAAUUUGGGACCGGUAUCAAGAGAUGGAAGCAGCAACACCUCGCUUGUUCCGAUUUAUAAAUUGUGCUCGCCUACUACAUACUGCACAUGUGCCACACCAACUCAGCCCAUACUUCUUUGGUAGAUAACUAGAUAUUGAGGAAGCAAUGAUCGAUCUUGAAGCAAUUAGUUCACUCAAUCGGUUAUGUAUAUAAUUCAAAAUAUAUAUAUACAUAUUUGUAUAUAUAUUAUAUAUUUGGAAAACCAAUUUUUAUUUUACUACUUUAUAAAAAUAUUGUCUAAUAAGAAUAUUUUAAAAUGUUUAUCAUGUAUUAAAAUAGUCAUAGUUAAAUAAAAUUUGUCCGUCGCUAUUGAAAGAGUUUUCAUCGUGACUUAUAAUUAAAAAAUGGUCUUCACGUAUGAAAAUAACAUUGCGUAUUAAAAUGGAAUCAUGUACAAUUAAAAAUAUCUUUACCGUGUAAUAAAAAAUCUUCAACUAUUUAAAACAAAUGUUCAUAUAAUUUAAUAAUAAAAACAUCCAUGUAAUUUUUAGUUAAUAUUUACACAUCUAAACACACGUGCAUGUUUAAAAGGUGUUGAUUCAUUUAAUGAAAUGUUUUUUUAUAUAAAAAAAUAAUACUUUGAAAAUAUUAUCAUGUAUUUUUGUAAGAUAAAAAUGUUCAUAUUUUAAAAAAUCAUUCUGUAUUAAAAAAUGUUCCUGUGAUUUUAGAAAAAUAAUAUAUUUUUAAAUAAAUGUUCAAAUAUUUACGAAAAUUGUCCAUGUAACUCUAUAAAUAUUAGUGUAAUUAUCUAAGAGAAUAAAUCAAAAAUAAAAGGGUAACAAUUUUAAGAUUAAGAAAAAUAGAAACGACUAAAAUAAGAUGGAAAAUGGAAAAGUAAAAGGAAAAAAUAGAAAACCCAAAAGAGGCAGAGAAUAGGUGAUCUUAGACGGGCCAGCCCAUUUUGCAGGAGGUGGUAGCGGGGCGGGGCAGAUCGCAGAGAGAGUAUUCCAUUUUUCUUUUCUUCUGGUUGGGGUCUUUUAAGUUUUUCUUUCCUUCUUCUUCUCUGAUCCNNNNNNNNNNNNNNNNNNNNNNNNNNNNNNNNNNNNNNNNNNNNNNNNNNNNNNNNNNNNNNNNNNNNNNNNNNNNNNNNNNNNNNNNNNNNNNNNNNNNNNNNNNNNNNNNNNNNNNNNNNNNNNNNNNNNNNNNNNNNNNNNNNNNNNNNNNNNNNNNNNNNNUCCUUUUUAAAUUUCACUUUCUAUCCCCUUCUUAAAAAUUAAAUAUAAAUAUUUUUUGCAGAUGCAUGAGUACUAUUUCUAAAUCAAAAAGGACAUUUAUAACGUGGUAGUUAUCUAAAUAACACAAAAAAAAUAAAAUGCCUCAAAAAAAUUUAAAACUUACAAGGGACUAUUUUAAAAUAUAUGAAAACGUUUUCAAAAUACAUAAACACUUCGUUAAAUAUAUGAAUAUUUUCGUUAUAUAUGAAGAAUUUUUCAUUCCAUCGACAUUUCCCAAAAUACAUGAACACAAUUUUUUCUAAUUGCGUGAACAUUUAAUGAAAGUGAUAACAUUUUUUAAAAUUUUCAUGGACAUAUUUUAAAAGGAGAAAUUAUUUUGUAGAAUAUUUUUAAAUAACUUAAACAUACUAUUAAAUACAUUAAUAAUUUUUAAACAUCUAAACUAAUGCUCCCUCCGUCCGGAAUUGGUGGACGCUCAAACGGAUGUAUCUAGCACUGAAAUCCGUUUGAGCGACAACUAAUUCCGCACGGAGGGAGUAUUAAAAGAAAAGUGAAAUAUAUAAGUUUUAUACAGUUUCAAAUAAUAAUAGCUUUUGUAAUCCAUGAACUUUUUUAUAAUGCAUGGAUGUUUAAUUAUCUUAGUAGUAAGCAUAUUGCAAUAUAGCUUAAUUUACCAAAAUUUCUUUCAAACUGUUGUUCUAAAACGGGCCACACUAUUCCGACCCAUUUAGUACCAGACUUGGGCGGACACUGUGUUCUUUGCCUCUACUGUUGGCUCAUAGCAGUGCCUACAGACGACCUCAUGGUGGGGCUCGAGAGUUCGAGCCCAAAAAUAUAGCUCACGUCGUUGAACUGUGAUAAGAUUUCACCCGAUAGUGGAUGGGUUUGGUUCCCGGGCCCUGGUGAGCCGGAUUCACUACCAACAAGACCAAGAUGACAUAUUUUCAUGCUCCAAAAUUACGGUUAGUGUUUUUUUAGAAAAUUAAGGUUAGUGAUUUGGUCUUCACCGCAAAUGUUUAUUGAUGUCCAAGUUUGAUGCAUAGUAAUUUGUACAAAUAACACAAAUAUUGCAUUUUGCCAUUGCAAAUGUUUAUUGAUGUCCAUGGUUGUUGACAUUGCCCGUGGAUUUCCAUGUAUGAUUGGAUCCAUUAAUAGCAUGCACUGAAAGUGAAAGAACUGCCCUGCAACAUGACAUGGACAGUUCAAAUGUUACAAGGAUACCACCAACAUUCUUAAGGUUGUGGCCGAUCAAGAGACAUGGAUCUGACAUGCAUACUUAGGGAUGCCUGGUUUUUGCAAUGACAAUAACGUGUUGCCAUGUUCAUCUCUCUUUGCCAACUUAACCAUUGGAGAAUCACUACCGGUGGAGUUCUAAGCAAAUGGUCACAACUACAACAGGGCUACUACCUUGUGGAUGAGUUAUAUCCAAAGUUGUCUACUUUUGUGAAGCCAAUUUAAAGUUCCCAAGGUAAGAAAGAACUCUACUUUCAUAAUGGUCAAGCGGCCGCUAGGAAAGCUGUGGGGAGAGUUUUUGGGAUUUUGCAAGCCCAAUUUACUAUUGUGCGAGGACCGACUUGGUUUUGGGAUCAAGAGAUCCUUUGGUACAUCAUCACGACGUGCGUGAUCAUGCACAACAUGAUCAUUGAGAAUGAGUGUGGGAAGAUUUGCACCUUCUAUAAGCUCAUGGGAAAACCUGUGCAGCUGCGUAGAAGGGAGGAGUGAUGGAUGUGGUAUGGGAAACAACAUCCCUAGUUUCAUCUUAUCGUGUGACGAACAAUUUGUGUGAUGUGAUGAACUAUGUAAUAAUUUAAGGUUGUGGAUCGAUGAAUUUUUUUUUAUGUUUCUAGUAUUUGUGUUUUAUUUGUUUUAAAAUUAUUCGAGGUGAGUUUGAGAUAUGAAUAUGUUCAAUAUGUAUGCAGUUAUCGUGCCCAAUACAGGACAGCUGUUGGGGCAAAUUGGUGCUCUAUUUAUAGGGCUGAUAUUGGAGCAAAAAUAUCAGUUGAUGCAAAAUGCACUUUUGAGUCUCCAGUAACAAUUUGUUGGAGAUGCUCUUGGGAAGUUCACACCUUCAAGUGUAGAUAGUUGCAUAUAACACAUCGUUUUUUUAGGUAUAUAACACAUGGUUGAGUGACCCUAGAGAUAGUACAAACUUAACCUUAAAAAAUAAUCUACAAACAUAAAAUGCAAAGUUACCCUUAAAAAAUAAUAUGCAAACGCAAAUCGGAUCAUUUAGAGGAAAACAUUUUUUUCUCUCCAAGUUUAUUAAUAGCCUUCCACGUGCUAUUGCCAUUACACUUAAACCCACUGGUGCGCGUACAUAUGUUUCUCUGACGAAACGUUAAACACGCUUAAGGCACGACAGGCCUAGUUAUUACUAGUAGAGAGUAGUUAGUUCUAUGUGAUGGUCACCGAGAUGAGGCCGUCGGAUUCUUCGUCCACGACGUCCCCGAACCGGACAACCCUGACGGGCAGGCUCUCCGCCGGCCCCGACGCUGCCGGCGAGAUGGCGUGGUGCACCGACGGCCUGGAGACGAGAUUGUAAGCCUGGAUCCUGUCCACUUUCGUCACCCGCACAGCUUCGUCCACGACGUCCCCUACCCGGACAACACUGACGGCCAGGCUCUCCGCCGGCCCCGACGCCGCCGGCGAGAUGGCGUGGUGCACCGAUGGCCUGGAGACGAGAUUGUAAGCCUGGAUCCUGUCCACUUUGGUCACCCGCACAGCUUCGUCCACGACGUCCCCUACCCGGACAACACUGACGGCCAGGCUCUCCGCCGGCCCCGACGUCGCCGGCGCGAUGGCGUGGUGCACCGACGGCCUGGAGACGAGGUUGUAAGCCUGGAUCCUGUCCACUUUUGUCACCCGCACAGCUCCAUCGACGGGAAGCUCAGCGCCCGUGCUGGUGCUCCCAGCCACCGUCUUGCCCCUGCCACCGCCACCGCCGCCGCACCGGAACAUUCUCGAACUUUCCCUCUCCUGGGUGGAUGCAAAGUUAUCUAACUAGCUGGAGCUAGAUCUGUUUGUAGCUAGAGGAGUGCGUGGUUUCAUUGAGCUCGGUUUUGGUGGUCAUUUAUAGGCUUCAUCGCAGCUUAGCUAGGAGAGGUGUGUUCUUGUGGGACUCCUCCGGAGAUGCUUAAUUCCACACUGACGUGGAGUGCAGUCAUAUUCGACCGAUCAUGAGCUGCUUUAGUUUGGAAUAGAAGCAAAUGAAACAUGGAUAUAAUGCAGGUGAUAGUUAUCUCAAUAUGUUCGGUCGCUUGGAA
This 7905-nucleotide long non-coding RNA is filed under the name Triticum aestivum (bread wheat). RNAcentral's name for it is "long non-coding RNA (TAES_LNC014789)". Lineage: Eukaryota; Viridiplantae; Streptophyta; Magnoliopsida; Poales; Poaceae. The record is from RNAcentral.